GCGACUUGCUGGGCCAUCACUGACGCUGAGGCACGAAAGCGUGGGGAGCAAAUAGGAUUAGAUACCCUAGUAGUCCACGCCGUAAACGUUGAAUACUAAGUGUCGGAGUUUCCGGUGCUGAAGUUAACACAUUAAGUAUUCCACCUGAGUAGUACGGUCGCAAGGUUGAAACUCAAAGGAAUUGACGGGCACCCGCACAAGCGGUGGAGCAUGCUGUUUAAUUCGAAGAUACGCGAAGAACCUUACCUGGGCUUGACAUCCCAAUGAAAGUUUUUGGAAACAUUAACCCUUCCCUUCGGGGAACAUUGGUGACAGGUGGUGCAUGGUUGUCGUCAGCUCGUGUCGUGAGAUGUUCGGUUAAGUCCGAUAACGAGCGCAACCCUUCUCCUUAAUUGCUAACAUUCAGUUGAGAACCUUAAGGAUACUGCCGGUGACAAACCGGAGGAAGGUGGGGAUGACGUCAAAUCAUCAUGCCCCUUACGUCCAGGGACGGGCGGGGUGUACAAUAGCUGGUAUAAGGAGAAGCAAUACCGUGAGGUGGAGCAAAUCUCCAAAACCAGUCUCAGUCCGGAUUGGAGUCUGCAACUAGACUCCAUGAAG
RNAcentral lists this ribosomal RNA (600 nucleotides) under uncultured bacterium. RNAcentral describes it as "bacterial SSU rRNA". It matches the Rfam family "Bacterial small subunit ribosomal RNA", at positions 721 to 1325 of the family's 1533-position model. The record is from RNAcentral.